UGGACCAAGGGACGAACGACAAGAGAACAAUGUGUAAAGCUAAAGAAACACUUAACAAGCUACAGGGUUGAGCGCUUUGGCGACAGGCCAUGCAGCGCGGUAAGUACCGAGAGCUCAUUCCGGAGUUGUGGCACCAUGCCGCACUAGGCCAGUGGUGAGUACUACGAGGGAGUUUGGAGGCCUUGGCAGCACACCAAACUUGCUUGAUGUUGGACACUUGGGCGCGUUAGGACAACGUCGCGGUGGCCAAAACACUAUAAAUACAAGGCACAUGGGGGAGAGAGAAAAUCACUUUAUUUUGUGACUUGUUUGACAGCUUUUGUAAGAGUUUCAACCUAUGCACUUCAAGAUUUCAAUAAAUAAUUUCAAGAACUCAAGAGGGAACUUCGGUUUCGUGAGAUCAUCAUUCAAGAACACAACGGUUAAAACCAGAUCAAUUUCGCCAUCUACAAAAAAUGUUAAGUACCUGCUGCUAACCAUCAAGAGGCACUGCCGGUGGUUCAGGCUAAACCAGUUGGUGAUGAGAAUAGAAUACAAGGGACAGGGGUGCUAAUGCCAAGGUAAUCAAGGUUGUGGUAGAGCCCCUAGCUAGGCAUAGGGUCCAGGUCGGUCAAUUGUUUAUGAGCAAGUAGAGUUUACUUCUUGUAACAACCCAACCAACUUUUUGAGUAUUUACGUAACAGAUCAUAUUUUGAAUGCUUAUA
Long non-coding RNA from Lycium ferocissimum, 704 nucleotides. RefSeq lists it as uncharacterized. The record is from RefSeq and is a predicted model, not a curated record. NCBI's taxonomy places the organism in Eukaryota, Viridiplantae, Streptophyta, Magnoliopsida, Solanales, Solanaceae. The transcript has 3 exons.